Hyla sarda is the source of this 447-nucleotide long non-coding RNA. RefSeq lists it as uncharacterized. The record is from RefSeq and is a predicted model, not a curated record. NCBI's taxonomy places the organism in Eukaryota, Metazoa, Chordata, Amphibia, Anura, Hylidae. The transcript is spliced from 3 exons.
GUUUUGAUAAAUCUUCCCCAGUGUCCCAAAAAAAGGAAACUAGAGCAGCCUUCACCUAGUGUACAAAAGAGCGUCUAACCCUGGCACAGGUGGUGUCUUGGGGUGGCACAUAUCUACUCGUGCCAGGAGACUUAUAAAGAGGCAUGCUGAUCUCCUGCAGAUCAGGGAGCCUGCCAGACCGCGGAGGUGAAAUUAAGACCAUUCGGUUAUCGUAUUCUACAGUGACCAGGAUAUGAAAAGCUUAUUACAAUCUUAUGUCAGUUUAGGAGACACUAUGGAUCUUCAUGUAGAAGGGUUUGUUGAAUUGUGAUAUGAAUAAAGAUAAAGAAAGGUAUCAGAGAUGGCCUAUUCCUCCAGACGAUACUAUCUUUAUAUAGAACAAGGUGAAUAUGAAAAUAUAAAAUAUAGAAAUGGUAGGAUAACUAGAAAAGCCUUCAUUGCCUCUCA